RNAcentral lists this ribosomal RNA (664 nucleotides) under Salmonella enterica subsp. enterica serovar Javiana. Its description in RNAcentral is "bacterial LSU rRNA". It matches the Rfam family "Bacterial large subunit ribosomal RNA", at positions 1 to 698 of the family's 2925-position model. Lineage: Bacteria; Pseudomonadati; Pseudomonadota; Gammaproteobacteria; Enterobacterales; Enterobacteriaceae. The record is from RNAcentral.
GGGUUGUGAGGUUAAGCGACUAAGCGUACACGGUGGAUGCCCUGGCAGUCAGAGGCGAUGAAGGACGUGCUAAUCUGCGAUAAGCGCCGGUAAGGUGAUAUGAACCGUUAUAACCGGCGAUUUCCGAAUGGGGAAACCCAGUGUGACUCGUCACACUAUCAUUAACUGAAUCCAUAGGUUAAUGAGGCGAACCGGGGGAACUGAAACAUCUAAGUACCCCGAGGAAAAGAAAUCAACCGAGAUUCCCCCAGUAGCGGCGAGCGAACGGGGAGGAGCCCAGAGCCUGAAUCAGCAUGUGUGUUAGUGGAAGCGUCUGGAAAGGCGCGCGAUACAGGGUGACAGCCCCGUACACAAAAGCGCAUGUGCUGUGAGCUCGAUGAGUAGGGCGGGACACGUGGUAUCCUGUCUGAAUAUGGGGGGACCAUCCUCCAAGGCUAAAUACUCCUGACUGACCGAUAGUGAACCAGUACCGUGAGGGAAAGGCGAAAAGAACCCCGGCGAGGGGAGUGAAAAAGAACCUGAAACCGUGUACGUACAAGCAGUGGGAGCACCCUUUGGGGUGUGACUGCGUACCUUUUGUAUAAUGGGUCAGCGACUUAUAUUCUGUAGCAAGGUUAACCGAAUAGGGGAGCCGGAGGGAAACCGAGUCUUAACCGGGCGUUAA